Molecule: ribosomal RNA, 489 nt
Filed under: uncultured bacterium
Lineage: Bacteria
Description: partial 16S ribosomal RNA
Rfam family: Bacterial small subunit ribosomal RNA
Source: RNAcentral
AUUGAACGCUGGCGGCAGGCCUAACACAUGCAAGUCGAACGGUAACAGGAAGCAGCUUGCUGCUUUGCUGACGAGUGGCGGACGGGUGAGUAAUGUCUGGGAAACUGCCUGAUGGAGGGGGAUAACUACUGGAAACGGUAGCUAGUACCGCAUAACGUCGCAAGACCAAAGAGGGGGACCUUCGGGCCUCUUGCCAUCGGAUGUGCCCAGAUGGGAUUAGCUAGUAGGUGGGGUAACGGCUCACCUAGGCGACGAUCCCUAGCUGGUCUGAGAGGAUGACCAGCCACACUGGAACUGAGACACGGUCCAGACUCCUACGGGAGGCAGCAGUGGGGAAUAUUGCACAAUGGGCGCAAGCCUGAUGCAGCCAUGCCGCGUGUAUGAAGAAGGCCUUCGGGUUGUAAAGUACUUUCAGCGGGGAGGAAGGGAGUAAAGUUAAUACCUUUGCUCAUUGACGUUACCCGCAGAAGAAGCACCGGCUAACUCCGU